GCCGGGCGUGGUGGCUCACGUCUGUAAUCCCAGCACUUUGGGAGGCUGAGGCGGGUGGAUCACCUGAGGUCAGGAGUUCGAGAGCAGCCUGGCCAACAUGGUGAAACCCCGCCUCUA
Molecule: small RNA, 117 nt
Filed under: Macaca mulatta (Rhesus monkey)
Lineage: Eukaryota; Metazoa; Chordata; Mammalia; Primates; Cercopithecidae
Description: Metazoan signal recognition particle RNA (ENSMMUG00000056212.1)
Rfam family: Metazoan signal recognition particle RNA
About the family: The signal recognition particle (SRP) is a universally conserved ribonucleoprotein. It is involved in the co-translational targeting of proteins to membranes.
Source: Rfam by way of RNAcentral